GCUAGGCAUGGUGGUGCAUGCCCGUAGUCCCAGCUACUUGGGGGGCUGAGGUGGGAGGAUCACUUGAGCCCAGGAGGUUGAGGCUGUAGUGAGCUGAGAUCGUGCCACUGCACUCCAGCCUGGGUGACAAAGUGAGACCCUGUCUCAA
Molecule: non-coding RNA, 148 nt
Filed under: Homo sapiens (human)
Lineage: Eukaryota; Metazoa; Chordata; Mammalia; Primates; Hominidae
Source: Rfam by way of RNAcentral